GACGAACGCUGGCGGCGUGCCUAAUACAUGCAAGUCGAACGCUGAAGAGAGGAGCUUGCUCUUCUUGGAUGAGUUGCGAACGGGUGAGUAACGCGUAGGUAACCUGCCUGGUAGCGGGGGAUAACUAUUGGAAACGAUAGCUAAUACCGCAUAAAAUUGAUUAUUGCAUGAUAAUUAAUUGAAAGAUGCAACUGCAUCACUACCAGAUGGACCUGCGUUGUAUUAGCUAGUUGGUGAGGUAACGGCUCACCAAGGCGACGAUACAUAGCCGACCUGAGAGGGUGAUCGGCCACACUGGGACUGAGACACGGCCCAGACUCCUACGGGAGGCAGCAGUAGGGAAUCUUCGGCAAUGGGGGGAACCCUGACCGAGCAACGCCGCGUGAGUGAAGAAGGUGUUCGGAUCGUAAAGCUCUGUUGUAAGAGAAGAACGGGUGUGAGAGUGGAAAGGUCAAACUGUGACGGUAUCGUACCAGAAAGGGACGGCUAACUACGU
This 496-nucleotide ribosomal RNA is filed under the name uncultured bacterium. RNAcentral describes it as "partial 16S ribosomal RNA". It matches the Rfam family "Bacterial small subunit ribosomal RNA", at positions 28 to 506 of the family's 1533-position model. The record is from RNAcentral.